UACGGAGGGUGCAAGCGUUGUCCGGAAUUAUUGGGUUUAAAGGGUACGCAGGCGGUUUAAUAAGUCAGUGGUUAAAGGCAGCAGCUUAACUGUAUGCACGCCAUUGAUACUGUUAGACUUGAGUGAUGGAGAGGUAGGCGGAAUUCCUCAUGUAGCGGUGAAAUGCACAGAUAUGAGGAGGAACUCCGACGGCGAAGGCAGCUUACCGGCCAUCAACUGACGCUGAGGUACGAAAGUGUGGUUAGCGAACAGG
Molecule: ribosomal RNA, 253 nt
Filed under: uncultured bacterium
Lineage: Bacteria
Description: partial 16S ribosomal RNA
Rfam family: Bacterial small subunit ribosomal RNA
Source: RNAcentral